This is a long non-coding RNA of Nothoprocta perdicaria, 549 nucleotides long. RefSeq lists it as uncharacterized. NCBI's taxonomy places the organism in Eukaryota, Metazoa, Chordata, Aves, Tinamiformes, Tinamidae. The record is from RefSeq and is a predicted model, not a curated record. The transcript has 3 exons.
CAGACACCUCUGCCUACCAUUCUUCUUGUGCCUGGCUAAGUACUGUUCACUGAUUAUAUAGAACAGAACUGAGCUGAACUAGCAUUCAGAAACAGGAAACCUUUCCCGUUGUUUUAUGAAUGUUUAAAGAAAAUCAAGUUAAAAGCAUUUUGUAAAGUGAAGAAAAGCCUGUUAUCUCUUAUAGUAGUACAUUGCUUUUCAAAAUCCAAGUGGAAAUUUCAGUUCACACACCAAGCUCUCCAAAGCAUUAAUGUUUUGUGAACUGCAGCAAACUCUUCUGUGGACAAAAGGAAAUCUGAGCUGGCAAAUUCAAGACCUGCUGAAACUUGCUGCAUAGGAAGCCAAGGGAGACGUGCAGAUUUCUGAAGAGAGGGAUGAAUCUUUUGGCUCUUGCUUCCUAGUACAUUUGUGAGCAUGAGGAGAAGAUGCCUUCAGGAGAUUUCAAAAUUUUUCUCAUAGCUGGAAUUUUGGGACAUAAUUCUGCAUAAUCUUAUCCAUUCUUACUCCUGUUUUAAAGACUGUGGCUGGAAAAAAAGAAAAAAAAGCAGA